UAGGCUGUUUGCUUCCUGCUAUUUGUGCCUUAAGGGGGGGUCACACUGCACUUUUCGUUCCAUUGACUUCGAUUCAUACGCAUGCGAAUGCGUCAGACCGGAAACGCAAGAUCAUGCGAAAAAUUUCGCAUUUCGCUGCGUUCCAAGGUUCAAAUUUGGUGAACUCUGACCUGCGAAUUCGCAUCACGUGAAGACGGGGGAUCAGUGGAAUAUCAAUACGUCACUGCGUGACCUCUCUGUACAGAAAUUCAAAAAUUAAGGAAGCGCUAAUUUUAGCCUUAGCGCAGCAUCCUAUUUUAUAUAAUACAUCUUUAAAAGAUUAUUAAAAAAAAAACUGCAUGGUUCGCAGUGUCAAUGGAAACAGGAACAGAUGGUACAUUUGAAUGAGGACACAUUUUAUAAUUUUUUAUUGCUUAGUGUGUAUGUAUUUAUAUAGAGAGAGAGACAGACAGAGAGUAAAAUAUAAUAAAACGCUUUCGACGCCGUCGCAAAAGGCACAGUACAAGCACAUUAAUCCAUGUUGUGAUAACUGAGGGGAGACCGUUAACCUGCUCCCGCCCAUAUUCGCAGCGUUGUCCGAAAAAAUUUCGCACGUUCAAAGUCUAGUGUGACCGCCCCUUUACUGAAGAGGAAGAGGAGGAGAUGAAACCGAAGAGAAGGCCAAAGCCAAUUCAUUUCUUUGGAGACACAGAUGAUGACAGUGAGGAGGAAGGUCAUCCUCAUAAGAAGAGAGCCAGGGGUCCAGCCAAACUCUUAACCGAACCACCAGCUCCUGUUAUCUCUCCACCAGCUCCUGUUAUAUCAACACCGCCUUUUAUCCCAAGUAGCGGCACAGCUGCUCCUCCUCCACUCACUUCACCACCUCACUGUGCACAGACACCAGCAGAAGAGCAAACCCCUUCUACAAGAAAGGUCUACAGACCAACCUGGCGUGGGGGGAAGAUGUGGAUCAGACAGUAUCGCCUGCUCUGCUGCAGAAGUCCACAUUAUGAGUUUACUGGAAUUAAUAAAACACCAGCAGGAGCAAAUAAUUGCUAAAGUAAAUUAUUUGACGAGCAAGUUGAACCCAGCAGGCCAAGACAUGGAAAUGCCUGAGAACCCGGUAGAUUUUCCAUUAACAUCAAUAGAGGAAGUGGAGAAUUUUGAGGAGUGGCUCAGAAAUCCCGCAAAUAAUCAAAUAAAGUUGAGUGUGGUGAGUGUUUUUUUUUUUUU
Cyprinus carpio (common carp) is the source of this 1212-nucleotide long non-coding RNA. Lineage: Eukaryota; Metazoa; Chordata; Actinopteri; Cypriniformes; Cyprinidae. The record is from Ensembl.